UGUCUGUGGAACUCAACCUCCGUAUUCUCCCCUUCAACUUCAUCUUGCUUCUUCCAGCUGGAAAAAAGGAAAAGUGCUAAUACUGAGCCUGAAUUCACUGUCACAGAGGAUAAGAGCAGGGAAAGGCAUUAUGAGGUUUCUUGAUGAUAGAAGCAAAAGCACUUGGAAUAGCCCUGAUCCAGGGUAGCGGCUGUCAUCAUGGCUCUGGCAUCUCCGACCAAUCCCUACUGACCACAUUUUGGCCAUCACACUGCUCAUUAGUACCUCUAACACCAGGUGAAGAGGCGUAUAUUUGAAAGAUACUACCUGGAAGGCCUCGGAAGAAGGCAUCAGAGUGGAGACUGAAAGUUGCUAAAAGUGUGCUUGCCCUAGAACAGAGUGAUUGGUGCUAAUCAAUGAGCAGAGGUGCCAUGAAUGGAAAAAAAAAAUC
Non-coding RNA from Phascolarctos cinereus (koala), 430 nucleotides. Lineage: Eukaryota; Metazoa; Chordata; Mammalia; Diprotodontia; Phascolarctidae. The record is from RefSeq and is a predicted model, not a curated record.